UUCGAUUGAAUAAAGUUGGGACUUGCCAAAUGGAUUGUUGAUGCACGUAUUCCUUUCAAUGCAAUUCAAUCACCUUACUUUCAACCUGCAUUGGAUACUGC
Molecule: non-coding RNA, 101 nt
Organism: Arachis ipaensis
Lineage: Eukaryota; Viridiplantae; Streptophyta; Magnoliopsida; Fabales; Fabaceae
Source: RefSeq, a predicted model, not a curated record